Molecule: ribosomal RNA, 482 nt
Filed under: uncultured bacterium
Lineage: Bacteria
Description: partial 16S ribosomal RNA
Rfam family: Bacterial small subunit ribosomal RNA
Source: RNAcentral
AUUGAACGCUGGCGGCAUGCUUUACACAUGCAAGUCGAACGGUAACAGGCCGCAAGGUGCUGACGAGUGGCGAACGGGUGAGUAAUGCAUCGGAACGUGCCCAGUCGUGGGGGAUAACUACUCGAAAGAGUAGCUAAUACCGCAUACGAUCUAUGGAUGAAAGCGGGGGACCGUAAGGCCUCGCGCGAUUGGAGCGGCCGAUGUCAGAUUAGGUAGUUGGUGGGGUAAAGGCUCACCAAGCCAACGAUCUGUAGCUAGUCUGAGAGGACGACCAGCCACACUGGGACUGAGACACGGCCCAGACUCCUACGGGAGGCAGCAGUGGGGAAUUUUGGACAAUGGGCGCAAGCCUGAUCCAGCAAUGCCGCGUGCAGGAAGAAGGCCUUCGGGUUGUAAACUGCUUUUGUACGGAACGAAACGGCUCUGGUUAAUACCCGGGGCUAAUGACGGUACCGUAAGAAUAAGCACCGGCUAACUACGUG